RNAcentral lists this long non-coding RNA (215 nucleotides) under Mytilus galloprovincialis (Mediterranean mussel). Lineage: Eukaryota; Metazoa; Mollusca; Bivalvia; Mytilida; Mytilidae. The record is from RNAcentral.
GCGCCAGUCUUUUUUUAAAACACAAAGGAUCACAUUUAUUGACUAAAAACGUGAGAAAUAUUACAAUCUAUUUUAUAUGAGGGUCUGGUUGGGGCUCUUUAAUUUUUGCACUUUUUGAAUGUUUAGGACAUUUUUCGUUAUCUUUCAAAAUUAGGCUCUGGAGAAUUUCAUGAAAUUGAUUGUACUAUUUAAUUUUCAUGCAAUUUGGAGAUAUC